This 1371-nucleotide ribosomal RNA is filed under the name metagenome. RNAcentral describes it as "bacterial SSU rRNA". It matches the Rfam family "Bacterial small subunit ribosomal RNA", at positions 132 to 1498 of the family's 1533-position model. The record is from RNAcentral.
UUGAGUGGGGGAUAACGUAGUGAGAGUUGCGCUAAUACCGCAUAUUCUGUGAGCAGGAAAGCAGGGGACCGCAAGGCCUUGCGCUCUUUGAGCGGCCGAUGUCAGAUUAGCUAGUUGGUGAGGUAAAGGCCUACCAAGGCGACGAUCUGUAGCGGGUCUGAGAGGAUGAUCCGCCACACUGGAACUGAGACACGGUCCAGACUCCUACGGGAGGCAGCAGUGGGGAAUUUUGGACAAUGGGGGCAACCCUGAUCCAGCCAUGCCGCGUGAGUGAAGAAGGCCUUCGGGUUGUAAAGCUCUUUCGGCCGGGAAGAAAUCGCAUGGGCCAAUACCCUGUGUGGAUGACGGUACCGGAAUAAGAAGCACCGGCUAACUACGUGCCAGCAGCCGCGGUAAUACGUAGGGUGCGAGCGUUAAUCGGAAUUACUGGGCGUAAAGCGUGCGCAGGCGGUUUUGUAAGACAGGCGUGAAAUCCCCGGGCUUAACCUGGGAACUGCGUUUGUGACUGCAAGGCUAGAGUACGGCAGAGGGGGGUGGAAUUCCACGUGUAGCAGUGAAAUGCGUAGAGAUGUGGAGGAACACCAAUGGCGAAGGCAGCCCCCUGGGUCGAUACUGACGCUCAUGCACGAAAGCGUGGGUAGCAAACAGGAUUAGAUACCCUGGUAGUCCACGCCCUAAACUAUGUCAACUAGGUGUUGGGUGGGUAAAACCAUUUAGUACCGUAGCUAACGCGUGAAGUUGACCGCCUGGGGAGUACGGCCGCAAGGUUAAAACUCAAAGGAAUUGACGGGGACCCGCACAAGCGGUGGAUGAUGUGGAUUAAUUCGAUGCAACGCGAAAAACCUUACCUACCCUUGACAUGCCAGGACCUUGCCAGAGAUGGCUUGGUGCCCGAAAGGGAGCCUGGACACAGGUGCUGCAUGGCUGUCGUCAGCUCGUGUCGUGAGAUGUUGGGUUAAGUCCCGCAACGAGCGCAACCCUUGUCGUUAAUUGCCAUCAUUAGUUGGGCACUUUAACGAGACUGCCGGUGACAAACCGGAGGAAGGUGGGGAUGACGUCAAGUCCUCAUGGCCCUUAUGGGUAGGGCUUCACACGUCAUACAAUGGUCGGUACAAAGGGUUGCCAAGCCGCGAGGCGGAGCCAAUCCCAGAAAGCCGAUCGUAGUCCGGAUUGCAGGCUGCAACUCGUCUGCAUGAAGUCGGAAUCGCUAGUAAUCGUGGAUCAGCAUGUCACGGUGAAUACGUUCCCGGGUCUUGUACACACCGCCCGUCACACCAUGGGAGCGGGUUCCGCCAGAAGUAGGUAGCCUAACCGCAAGGGGGGCGCUUACCACGGCGGGGUUCGUGACUGGGGUGAAGUCGUAACAAGGCA